This 446-nucleotide ribosomal RNA is filed under the name uncultured bacterium. RNAcentral describes it as "SSU rRNA". It matches the Rfam family "Bacterial small subunit ribosomal RNA", at positions 26 to 518 of the family's 1533-position model. The record is from RNAcentral.
AGAACGAACGCUGGCGGCAGGCUUAACACAUGCAAGUCGAACGCGUGUAGCAAUACACGAGUGGCGCACGGGUGAGUAACGCGUGGAUAUCUGCCUUUUGGUUCGGAAUAACCCCGGGAAACUGGGGCUAAUACCGGAUGGUUCCUACGGGAUAAAGAUUUAUCGCCAAAAGAUGAGUCCGCGUACGAUUAGCUAGUUGGUGAGGUAAUGGCUCACCAAGGCGACGAUCGUUAGCUGGUCUGAGAGGACGAUCAGCCACACUGGGACUGAGACACGGCCCAGACUCCUACGGGAGGCAGCAGUGGGGAAUAUUGGACAAUGGGGGCAACCCUGAUCCAGCCAUGCCGCGUGAGUGAUGAAGGCCUUCGGGUUGUAAAGCUCUUUUGGCGGGGACGAUGAUGACGGUACCCGCAGAUAAGCCCGGCUAACUUCGCGCCAGCAGCCGC